This is a small nuclear RNA of Panthera leo (lion), 107 nucleotides long. The record is from Ensembl. Lineage: Eukaryota; Metazoa; Chordata; Mammalia; Carnivora; Felidae.
GUGCUCACUUUGGCAGCACAUAGACUAAAACUGGAAUGAUGCAGAGAAGAUUAACAUGGCCCCGGUGCAAGGAUGACAUGCAAAUUCAUGAAGCAUUCUACAUUUUU